RNAcentral lists this transfer RNA (82 nucleotides) under Enterocloster aldenensis. RNAcentral describes it as "[Clostridium] aldenense tRNA-Leu". It matches the Rfam family "tRNA". Rfam says of the family: Transfer RNA (tRNA) molecules are approximately 80 nucleotides in length. Their secondary structure includes four short double-helical elements and three loops (D, anti-codon, and T loops). Lineage: Bacteria; Bacillati; Bacillota; Clostridia; Lachnospirales; Lachnospiraceae. The record is from RNAcentral.
GCCCAUAUGGCGUAAUGGCAGACGCUGUGGACUUAAAAUCCACUGGAUUCAUUCCGUGCCGGUUCGAGUCCGGCUAUGGGUA